RNAcentral lists this long non-coding RNA (239 nucleotides) under Homo sapiens (human). RNAcentral describes it as "HSALNT0084347". The record is from RNAcentral. Lineage: Eukaryota; Metazoa; Chordata; Mammalia; Primates; Hominidae.
CCAAGAAAAAUCCAGAGCUAGCCAUUAUAUCAGGAACGAAGAAGCCAGUCACUGUGCUCUGGAGAGACAAAUUGCACAUUUGACAUGCAGUCACUUUGUGUAGGAAACAUUACUUCUGAAGAGAAUGAUACCUGGUGUUCUUUAAAGUACAACAUUGGACAAACAAAAGAAAAUGGAGCUAAAUUAUUAUUGAUCACCCAAGAGUCCCUCUGAGCUUGCAGAAUGACAAAGAUUCUUUU